This 293-nucleotide ribosomal RNA is filed under the name uncultured bacterium. RNAcentral's name for it is "partial 16S ribosomal RNA". It matches the Rfam family "Bacterial small subunit ribosomal RNA", at positions 775 to 1067 of the family's 1533-position model. The record is from RNAcentral.
GGAUUAGAUACCCUGGUAGUCCACGCUGUAAACGAUGUCAACUAGCCGUUGGGACUCUUGAAGUCUUAGUGGCGCAGCUAACGCACUAAGUUGACCGCCUGGGGAGUACGGCCGCAAGGUUAAAACUCAAAUGAAUUGACGGGGGCCCGCACAAGCGGUGGAGCAUGUGGUUUAAUUCGACGCAACGCGAAGAACCUUACCUGGCCUUGACAUGCAGAGAACUUUCCAGAGAUGGAUUGGUGCCUUCGGGAACUCUGACACAGGUGCUGCAUGGCCGUCGUCAGCUCGUGCCG